Molecule: long non-coding RNA, 2696 nt
Organism: Cryptomeria japonica (Japanese cedar)
Lineage: Eukaryota; Viridiplantae; Streptophyta; Pinopsida; Cupressales; Cupressaceae
Exons: 3
Source: RefSeq, a predicted model, not a curated record
AGUACUCUUCCCUUAAUGUCCCAAUUUUCUGGAGAGUAUCAGAUGUAUUAGUGGUCAAAUAAAACCACGAGGGACUGGAAAUAUGUGACUGCGACCUAUGUAGAUUUGGCAUCACUGCAUACAUUUCGGAUGUGCGAUUGCCCUAGAGUUGAGAAAAUAGAAGGUUUAGAACAGGCCAAGUCAUUGAAGAUACUGAACGUGCUGGAAGGUUUGGAGAAUGUAGACUGAUUGGAAGAACUAGUACUUGCACUCCAUUUUUUCAUCUUGGUCCUAGAUUGUCCAAUGCUAGAGGUAGAAGUGGCAAGGAAGGCAGAGGUGGCACUAUCACUGAUUGGAUUCUUUUACCUAUUAUAUUUAAGUUCAAUUCCCAUAUAGCUUAUAGAUAAUUUUUUCAUGUUUACCAUUGAAAGAAAAGGAUUGUAGCUAGAUUUAGCCAAGCUAGCUGCAGCUUUGUAAGGCUUCCAGACAAGUAAUCCUUACUGACAUUUGUUUCUUUAUCAUUUGCUCAUGAAGGAUGUUUAAGCUAUAAUACUCUUGUGUUCACCGUGGCCUUUGCUUUUGGGUGCACUGGUGAACUCGGUACUUUGAUAUUCAGAUAGUUAAUAGAAUUAUAAUUUUCAUAUUAUGUCCUUUUUAAAUAUUGUGGGGUCCAAUUAAAUUAUCAUUGAUGUAGCUAAAUAGAUACUUUGUAGGAAAGCUACAAUAGAUUCUAUUACUCAAUCAGUUACACUGAGCAAAGAGGUUGCAGACAUAACUAUCUUGCAGGAUUAAUCUGAAGACAGUUCUAGCACAUACUGGAUACUAUAAAAUUUAGUGAUAGGUGUUUAUUGUGCCCAUGUAAAUAGUUUUCUCUCUGUUCCUCUUUGACCAUAGAUUUAAAUUUGAUGCCAGAUUUCUAACAAGCAGCCACUCAGCAAUAAUGUAGAUCAAAAAUGUAUACAAAAAAAGGCCUCUGACAUUUUGCUGUUGAAAUAAUUUGAAUAGAACAUUGGCUCUCUUAUCUCUAAUUUUAAUGCGUUACAGGUAAUGGAAAAUUUGAUUUUUUGUUGUGAUCUAUUUAAGUUUUACAUGAUAGAUGCUAGGGUUUUGUUUCAGUUAAUUAAAGUUCUUUGUUUAUGGUUUAAAGUUCUUGUGAAAAAUGUAUUUGUUGUACUUUGGAAUAAAAUCAUAUCACCUGAAUGGUACAUCUCAAGGCCCAUGCAAAUUUGCACAUGAAACUGAAGAUUGUGGAACAGGAUUGUUCUCAAGUACAACAAAGCACACAUUCAGAUAAGUUUGUAACAGUAUAUACAAUGCACAUUAAUUUAUUACCCCUAAACUAAUGCAGGGUGUUGUGUAUUUCGCUUAAAUAAGUAGUUAGAUAAAAUGUUUGCUUCUCUUUAAAGUGUGUUACUGCCAUGUAAAUAAGUAGUUAGAUUAAUGGGUUGUGUGUAAAUUGGAAACAAGUCUAGUUGACUCAAAAACUUUUCCAUUUUGUUGAAUACAGUUCUUGUUUCAAUUAUGUAUUUAUUGCAUGCUACAUCCUUCGUCUCUACAAGGUAGCAAUCUCUGCAUCCAUCCUGGUCUCUGUGAGCCUUGGCUAUUUGUCUCAAGGGUGUAUGAAGAAUUUCUCGCAAUUUAUAGGUUACUAAUGUUUUGUUAAUUUGAGCAAUGAUACAUAUUUGCUUAUUCAACUCUUAGUUCUUUUAUUUGUUAUGUAUGUUUUCAUGAACUGAGAAUGACAGAGCAUAGACAUAGUUGUGUUUAUCUAGAAGUUGUUUUGUUACGUUCAGCAAUGAGAGAGCGUGGAUAUAAUUGUGCUUAUCCAGCUGUUGAUUUUUAAUGUUUGUAUACAAGUUAUGUUAAGGUGAGCUGGCUCCUUGCCCUGUGGCUUUUAAUAUCAUUAUAUGUUCUGUAACUUUAAUGUAGAUUGUCAAAUUGUUUUAGCUUUAUGUGAUUGCAGGUAUCCAAAGACGAAUUCCUUAUGCACCAUGACAAAUAUGAGGCAGAUGGUGGAUACCAUGGAAUGGCAUUUUGAGGAUUCCUUUAUGUUCCAUUGAAGGUAAAAGAAUGAGACAAGAAGACAAAAACCAUACGGCUACUUAUAGUAAAUGAGUCUAUAAAUGCUUUAGCAGUUUGCAGGGAUGCCUUGCUUAGAAAUAUCAGUGGGGUUUUAUUUUGUUUGCAUUUAUAUUAGGAUGUAGCAGAGAGUUUCCUCAUUAGCUUGGGUUAUGUUUCUUUUGUAUUUCAAGUGGUAGGUCGGUUUGUUAUUUCUGUGUGGAUAUUGUGUAUCAGAUUUGUAGACUUGUAUGGAGAUUAAACAGAUGAGGUGGCUUGUAAUAUCUUCCAGGCCAAGCAGGCCUAUAGCGCCUUUCAAGACAAAGCACCACUGGUCGUAGCUCACAGUGGACUAUCCGGACUUUUUCUUGCACAAAGAACCAGUGGCCAUAGCUUGCGUUGGACUAUCUGGACUUUUUCUUGAACAAACUCUUCCUGCAUAUCAAAUUACAAUCAUGAACAACGAAUUUGAUGUUGUAAUGUUCUGCAAUUUGCAAUUAACAAAAGAUGCACAAGAGCAUAUGCCAAACAGAUUUAAACUUAGGGAACAGUAUAAACUUAAAUUUUGUUUUUCCCAAAUCAGAAUACUUAUUUAGUCAAUGGCCAAAACAUCACUGUAUAUUUUGAACAUAUUGAAUUUAUACUAAUAUUCAUGGGAA